Molecule: ribosomal RNA, 468 nt
Filed under: uncultured bacterium
Lineage: Bacteria
Description: partial 16S ribosomal RNA
Rfam family: Bacterial small subunit ribosomal RNA
Source: RNAcentral
GACGAACGCUGGCGGCGUGCUUAACACAUGCCAGUCGAACGGAAAGGCCCUGCUUUUUUCGGGUGCCCGAGUGGCGAACGGGUGAGUAACACGUGAGUAACCUGCCCGUGACUUUGGGAUAACUUCAGGAAACUGGGGCUAAUACCUGAUAGGAGCUCCUGCUGCAUGGUGGGGGUUGGAAAGGUUCGGCGGUUGGGGCUGGACUCGCGGCUCAUCAGCUUGUUGGUGCGGUAGUGGAUUACGAAGGCGUUGAAGGGUAGCCGGCCUGAGAGGGUGACCGGCCACAUUGGGACUGGGAUGCGGCCCAGAGUCCUACGGGAGGCAGCAGUGGAGAAUAGUGCAAAAUGGGCGGAAGCAUGAUGCAGCAACGCCGCGUGGGGGAUGACGGCCUUCGGGUUGUAAACCGCUUUCGCCUGUGACGAAGAGUGAGUGACGGUAAUGGGUAAAGAAGCACCGGCUAACUACGUG